Passer domesticus (house sparrow) is the source of this 749-nucleotide long non-coding RNA. RefSeq lists it as uncharacterized. Lineage: Eukaryota; Metazoa; Chordata; Aves; Passeriformes; Passeridae. The record is from RefSeq and is a predicted model, not a curated record. The transcript has 3 exons.
UCACUCUCAGCAUUUCAUCCUGACACACUUCACCUGGGCAGAACACACCUCUUUGCUUGGCUUCCUUCACUGCUGUGAGAAAUUCCCCUCAAAUCCCCAGGACUGUUAUUUGGAGCUCACUGAGACUGAAGUGAAACUCCCAGGAAGCAGCACAAAGAUAACAAAUGAAAACUAAGCCAAAAUAUAAUCACUCUAAUUAUAAUGACUGCUAAAAGGAGAUGGUUAAGAGAGAAGUUCCAGGAGCAUUGAAGCCAGCUGUCAAGAUCCAGCCUAUCUGAUUGAAAACUGACAAGCAAGUCAGCUGGGAGAGCACUACCAUGUUAUAAAACAGAAGGAGAGGAGCAGCUUGGAGCCUUGAGGGCGGGGUUUUGGGUUGUUUAUGUGGUUUGGGGGUGGGUUUUUUUUGCAUGCUGCAAACUUACAACAGAAAAUGGAUGAAGUGAGAAAAAACCCUCAUUUUCACCUGGAUUAUAAAGCAGGACCAGCAGAUGUCAGCAUAACUCAAAGCACAACUUUGGAUUUUGGCAAGGCAACAUUCAUGACACCAGAACAGAGAAAGAUCUGCUGAGCACAUUGCAAGGUUAUACAACUUUACCAGGUAAAUCUGCAUGAACUUAACAGUAUUAUUGAAAUAAUGUGAUCCAACAAACAUGCAGAUCUCCCAAGUCAGCAAAGGCUAGGAAAUUUAUACAAAACACAACAAAAAUACCAAGAAUGAAAAUGUUACUAAAAUUUAAUUUAUAAAGCUU